Molecule: ribosomal RNA, 403 nt
Filed under: bacterium
Lineage: Bacteria
Description: partial 16S ribosomal RNA
Rfam family: Bacterial small subunit ribosomal RNA
Source: RNAcentral
UGGGGAAUAUUGCACAAUGGAGGGAACUCUGAUGCAGCGACGCCGCGUGAACGAAGAAGGCUUUCGAGUCGUAAAGUUCUUUUAUAUGGGAAGAUAAUGACGGUACCAUAAGAAAAAGCCCCGGCUAACUACGUGCCAGCAGCCGCGGUAAUACGUAGGGGGCUAGCGUUGUCCGGAAUCACUGGGCGUAAAGGGUUCGGAGGCGGAAAUGCAAGUCAGGUGUAAAAGGCAGUAGCUUAACUACUGUAAGCAUUUGAAACUGCAUAUCUUGAGAAGAGUAGAGGUAAGUGGAAUUUUUAGUGUAGCGGUGAAAUGCGUAGAUAUUAAAAAGAAUACCGGUGGCGAAGGCGGCUUACUGGGCUCAUUCUGACGCUGAGGAACGAAAGCGUGGGUAGCAAACAGG